AGCGAACGCUGGCGGCAGGCCUAACACAUGCAAGUCGAACGAACUCUUCGGAGUUAGUGGCGGACGGGUGAGUAACACGUGGGAACGUGCCUUUUGGUUCGGAAUAACUCAGGGAAACUUGUGCUAAUACCGAAUGUGCCCUUCGGGGGAAAGAUUUAUCGCCAUUAGAGCGGCCCGCGUCUGAUUAGCUAGUUGGUGAGGUAACGGCUCACCAAGGCGACGAUCAGUAGCUGGUCUGAGAGGAUGACCAGCCACACUGGGACUGAGACACGGCCCAGACUCCUACGGGAGGCAGCAGUGGGGAAUCUUGCGCAAUGGGCGGAAGCCUGACGCAGCCAUGCCGCGUGAAUGAUGAAGGUCUUAGGAUUGUAAAAUUCUUUCACCGGGGACGAUAAUGACGGUACCCGGAGAAGAAGCCCCGGCUAACUUCGUG
RNAcentral lists this ribosomal RNA (433 nucleotides) under uncultured bacterium. RNAcentral describes it as "partial 16S ribosomal RNA". It matches the Rfam family "Bacterial small subunit ribosomal RNA", at positions 29 to 507 of the family's 1533-position model. The record is from RNAcentral.